Molecule: long non-coding RNA, 1752 nt
Filed under: Oreochromis niloticus (Nile tilapia)
Lineage: Eukaryota; Metazoa; Chordata; Actinopteri; Cichliformes; Cichlidae
Description: lncRNA (ENSONIG00000040152.1)
Source: RNAcentral
AUGGAAGCUGUAGUUGGACUGUUGUUGAUGAUGUGCGGAGUGUCUCAUGGUGUGGAAACUUACUGUGAUGGCAGACAGGAUGGAGCUCAGUGUUAUGGAGCUUUGGGAGGAACUGUGAACAUCCAGCUGAUGGACAGCACCUCAGAAAUACCUCGAUACCAAUUGUCAAAGAAUUCAUUAAAAAUACUAGAUGUGAAAAAGAAAAAUGUUAUUACUAAAAUCAAAGAACAGAGAUGUCUAAUUUUUCCAGGUAAUGGAACAUUUAGGCUUAGUAAUCUGAAAAGGAAUGACAGUGGUAGUUAUACCCUUCAAACCUUUAAUUCAGAUGGAAGAACAUCAGGCGAGUGGACUUUACAGUUGUUUAUUCAAGCUCCUGUGUCCUCUGUCCUGCUGGUCUCUGAGUGUCUGUCCCAGGGAGAGAGGAGGGUGUCCUGCUCCUCUGAGGGAGGGGACAGUCCUCAGUACAGCUGGACUCUGGAUGGACGCACACUGACAGAUGCUGAGCUCCUUCCUGGAAAUAACAAGACUAACAACAUCACUGUGAAACAGCACGUCUCAGGACAUCUGGCCUGCUCAGUCAGGAACAACAUCAGUGAUGUCUCCAAAGAGGAGAGGAUAUCUACCUGUGGUGAGUGAGGGAUUAUUAAUAAACUCUGAUAAUGGUCACUUGGUCACUUUGUACAUCAUUCAUGUAUCAUUUUCUUGUUUCUGCAUUUGCUUUAUUUUCAUUGACUGAACCUGAAUUAAUGGGAGACUAAUAUCACAUCCUUGAAUCAAAUGCCUGAUCAUACAUUAAUAAAUGAAGACCAAGUUUAAUGAAGUGGACUAAGUGUUUUUUCUCCUAUUGUAUUCUUUUUUCCAAAAACAUGUUUGUUGACUUGUUUGUUUUGUUGUGCUUUAUUUUAGAAGCAGGUACUUUGCCACUGAUCGGUGGUGUGGUUUCAGCACUGGUCAUGUUAUUACUUGUAGGUGUAGCAGUUAUCUGUGUUCAGAGGAAAAAAACAAACAACAAACCAAGCAAAAAAGAGGUAUAACUUACUUUUUAAUCACUUAACUCAUAUUAUUGGUUUUUUUUUUGCUCUUUUUGUAAAUAAACAGAAUAAUUGUUGCUUUUGCUCUUUUUAAAGUAUUUUUUUUCUUUCUAAGCGUUUUUUUCAUCCUUUCGUCAUAUUUCAGUCAAAUCUGUGGAUGUUGUUAAUAAGCACGCUAACUGGUCUGAAUCAGACAAACUGUUUUACUCUGUCACCAGUCUUUGUUCUUUCCUGUAGUGUCUGAAUGGAAAUAUGUUAUCAUGCUAAUGUUGCUUCUCUGCAAAGGAAGAAGACCAGGAAGUAAUGUAUGCUGAUGUUAGGGUCGUGCAGCAGCAGGGGAAAAAAGUGGAUGAAGGAGGAGAAGAGGUGUUGUAUGGCCAAGUCAAGUUUUCGCAGUGAUCUCAUGACACUGAACAGGAUGAUUGUUUGUAUGUCAUCAUCCAAAAAAGUCAGGUGAUUUAAGUGGUCAGUGCUUAUACACAGACUGCACCACUUAAGGCCCAUAGAGGGAGGAAGUGAUGUCAAAAUGCAUAAACGUCUUUUGAUAUCCUAUCAGAAAAAAUAUAAACCAUCAAAACUUUUGAAUACUGAUUUUCUUUGCUUCGUCUGCAUCUCUGUCUUAUAAAAGGGCAUUAAUUCACCAAGUCAUAGGAUUGUCUUGUCUUUAAUUGCAAAUGCUGUGAAUGUUUUUUGCAUUUUAUUACUGUUAAAUGUCUUAUAG